This is a non-coding RNA of Butyrivibrio proteoclasticus, 58 nucleotides long. Lineage: Bacteria; Bacillati; Bacillota; Clostridia; Lachnospirales; Lachnospiraceae. The record is from Rfam.
UAACUCAGCUGGGAGAGUAAUGGUUUCCUAAACCAUGAGUCGUGGGUUCGAGCCCCUU